UACGUAGGGUGCAAGCGUUGUCCGGAAUUAUUGGGCGUAAAGAGCGUGUAGGCGGCCCGAUUAGUCCGCUGUGAAAGUCCAGGGCUCAACCCUGGAAUGCCGGUGGAUACUGUCGGGCUAGAGUGCGGAAGAGGCGAGUGGAAUUCCUGGUGUAGCGGUGAAAUGCGCAGAUAUCAGGAGGAACACCAAUUGCGAAGGCAGCUCGCUGGGACGUAACUGACGCUGAGACGCGAAAGCGUGGGGAGCAAACAGG
This 253-nucleotide ribosomal RNA is filed under the name uncultured bacterium. RNAcentral's name for it is "partial 16S ribosomal RNA". It matches the Rfam family "Bacterial small subunit ribosomal RNA", at positions 524 to 776 of the family's 1533-position model. The record is from RNAcentral.